RNAcentral lists this ribosomal RNA (440 nucleotides) under uncultured bacterium. Its description in RNAcentral is "partial 16S ribosomal RNA". It matches the Rfam family "Bacterial small subunit ribosomal RNA", at positions 338 to 795 of the family's 1533-position model. The record is from RNAcentral.
CCUACGGGGGGCAGCAGUGGGGGAUAUUGCACAAUGGGGGGAACCCUGAUGCAACGACGCCGCGUGGGUGAAGGAGCGUUUCGGCGCGUAAAGCUCUAUCGGCAGGGAAGAAGAUGACGGUACCUGAGCAAGAAGCCCCGGCUAACUACGUGCCAGCAGCCGCGGUAAUACGUAGGGGGCAAGCGUUAUCCGGAUUUACUGGGUGUAAAGGGGGCGUAGACGGCAAUGCAAGGCAGGAGUGAAAGGCCGGGGCUCAACCCCGGGACUGCUCUUGAAACUGGAUGGCUGGAGUGCAGGAGAGGCAAGCGGAAUGCCUAGUGUAGCGGUGAAAUGCGUAGAUAUUAGGAGGAACACCGGUGGCGAAGGCGGCCUACUGGACUGUGACUGACGUUGAGGCCCGAAGGCGUGGGGAGCAAACAGGAUUAGAUACCCCGGUAGUC